CCUACGGGUGGCAGCAGUGAGGAAUAUUGGUCAAUGGCCGGAAGCCUGAACCAGCCAAGCCGCGUGAGGGAGGACGGCCCAGUGCGUCGCAGACCUCUUUUGCCGGGGGACAAACGGCCGCACGCGUCCCGUUCCGAGUGUACCCGGAGAAAAAGCAUCGGCUAACUCCGUGCCAGCAGCCGCGGUAAUACGGAGGAUGCGAGCGUUAUCCGGAUUCAUUGGGUUUAAAGGGUGCGCAGGCGGGCGUUUAAGCCGGCGGUGAAAUGGCGGGGCUCAACCUCGCCGAGCCGUCGGAACUGGGGGCCUUGAGUGCGGGGGAGGCAUGCGGAAUGCGCGGUGUAGCGGUGAAAUGCAUAGAUAUCGCGCAGAACCCCGAUUGCGAAGGCAGCGUGCCGUGGCGCAACUGACGCUGAGGCACGAAAGCGCGGGGAUCGAACAGGAUUAGAUACCCUAGUAGUC
Molecule: ribosomal RNA, 459 nt
Filed under: uncultured bacterium
Lineage: Bacteria
Description: partial 16S ribosomal RNA
Rfam family: Bacterial small subunit ribosomal RNA
Source: RNAcentral